UACGGGGGGGGCAAGCGUUGUUCGGAAUUACUGGGCGUAAAGGGCUCGUAGGCGGCCAACUAAGUCAUACGUGAAAUCCCUCGGCUUAACCGGGGAACUGCGUCUGAUACUGGAUGGCUUGAGAUUGGGAGAGGGAUGCGGAAUUCCAGGUGUAGCGGUGAAAUGCGUAGAUAUCUGGAGGAACACCGGUGGCGAAGGCGGGUCUCUGGGCCGUAACUGACGCUGAGGAGCGAAAGCGUGGGGAGCGAACAGG
RNAcentral lists this ribosomal RNA (253 nucleotides) under uncultured bacterium. Its description in RNAcentral is "partial 16S ribosomal RNA". It matches the Rfam family "Bacterial small subunit ribosomal RNA", at positions 524 to 776 of the family's 1533-position model. The record is from RNAcentral.